RNAcentral lists this ribosomal RNA (459 nucleotides) under uncultured bacterium. RNAcentral's name for it is "partial 16S ribosomal RNA". It matches the Rfam family "Bacterial small subunit ribosomal RNA", at positions 339 to 795 of the family's 1533-position model. The record is from RNAcentral.
CUACGGGAUGCUGCAGUGAGGAAUAUUGGUCAAUGGACGAGAGUCUGAACCAGCCAUCCCGCGUGCAGGAUGACGGCCCUAUGGGUUGUAAACUGCUUUUCUAUACCAAGAAAUCUGUCUACGUGUAGACAGUUGCCGGUAGUAUAGGAAUAAGCAUCGGCUAACUCCGUGCCAGCAGCCGCGGUAAUACGGAGGAUGCAAGCGUUAUCCGGAUUCAUUGGGUUUAAAGGGUGCGCAGGCGGGCUUGUAAGUCAGUGGUGAAAUGCUGCCGCUUAACGGUAGAACUGCCAUUGAUACUGCAAGUCUUGAAUAUGGUUGAGGUAGGCGGAAUGUGUUGUGUAGCGGUGAAAUGCAUAGAUAUGACACAGGACGCCGAUUGCGAAGGCAGCUUACUAAGCCAUAAUUGACGCUGAGGCACGAAAGCGUGGGGAGCGAACAGGAUUAGAUACCCGCGUAGUC